RNAcentral lists this ribosomal RNA (780 nucleotides) under Triticum aestivum (bread wheat). Its description in RNAcentral is "partial small subunit ribosomal RNA". The record is from RNAcentral. Lineage: Eukaryota; Viridiplantae; Streptophyta; Magnoliopsida; Poales; Poaceae.
AUGGAGAAGCAGAGCAUGAAGAAGGCGUGGACGGCGGCCGAAAACGGGGUGAGGCUGAAUGUGCCCCGUGCGGAAGCAACGGUGGGAGAAUCCGCCAAUGCUUACACCGUCGAGGCGGACGGACUCGGAUGUGAGAUCUGCUUCGAACCUUUUGGUGAUCAGAUCUUCAUGUGCAAGAAUGGGCAUCCUGCGUGCGGAACCUGCUGCACCAUCAUGAACCGCAAGUGCUCCUGCUGCUCCGAGCCGAUUGGCGACAUCCGGUGCCGGCCGCUGGAGAAGAUCCUGGCGGCCAUGACCAGGCCCUCCACCUAUGUGAGCUACGGGUGCCAGAAGAUCGUCAGCUACACCGAGAGGCAGAGCCACGAGAAGCUGUACAACCACAUACACGACCGCCACGCCCCGUCCACCGUGGUCGUGCCCGGCGGCAGCCGGCGCUCCACCGUCACGCUGGAGAAGAAGAUACCCUUCCGCGUGCUCCUGCACCGCGAUUGGGCAAGCGUUUUCCUCCUGCUCAACGGCGGCGACGUCCUGUCCGGGCGCUCGCUGUCGCUCGUCUGCAUGAGCCCUCGCCCCAUGGGGAAAUCCGAGGCCAAGUACAAGAUGGAGGUGAAGCAUUGGUGGAGCGACCCGAGUGCGCCCGUGCUCUUGAGCUCAGGGGCUGCGCCCUUCGUCCGGCGGCUGGACGAUUUCCGGGUCAGAGGGUUCCUGUUCGUGCCCGACUCCUACUGGAACUUAUCGGACAGCGUCUCGGUCACAGUGCAUCUCACAGACGGCAGGUGA